CGCGUAGGCGGUCUCUUAAGUCAGGUGUGAAAGCCCGGGGCUCAACCCCGGAAGUGCAUUUGAAACUAAGAGACUUGAGUAUGGGAGAGGGAAGUGGAAUUCCUGGUGUAGCGGUGAAAUGCGUAGAUAUCAGGAGGAACACCGGUGGCGAAGGCGACUUCCUGGACCAAUACUGACGCUGAGGUGCGAAGGCGUGGGGAGCAAACA
Molecule: ribosomal RNA, 207 nt
Filed under: uncultured bacterium
Lineage: Bacteria
Description: partial 16S ribosomal RNA
Rfam family: Bacterial small subunit ribosomal RNA
Source: RNAcentral